AGUGAACGCUGGCGGCAGGCCUAAUACAUGCAAGUCGAACGAACACACAGGAAGCUUGCUCCUCUGCGGUUAGCGACGGACGGGCGGGUAACACGUACAUAACCUACCUCUUUUACUUGGAUGACUACGGGAGACAACAUCUACUACCGGCUCAUAUAUCCUACCGGUGGAAUCAAUAGUUCAAGAGGCUUUUGCUGUUUCUUUUAGAUGGAUCCGGGCCGCAUUAGCUAGUUGGUAAGGUAACGCCUUACCAAGGCAACGAUGCGUAGCCGACCUGAGAGGAUGAUCGGCCACACUGGAACUGAGACACGGUCCAGACUCCUACGGGAGGCAGCAGUGGGGAAUCUUCCGCAAUGGGCGAAAGCCUGACGCAGCAACGCCGCGUGGGUGAUGAAGGUCUUCGGGUCGUAAAGCCCUGUUAUUGGGAAAGAACAGAUGUGUAAUUAACCACGCACGUUUUGACGGUACCUAAACAGUAAGCCACGGCUAACUUCGUG
Molecule: ribosomal RNA, 497 nt
Filed under: uncultured bacterium
Lineage: Bacteria
Description: partial 16S ribosomal RNA
Rfam family: Bacterial small subunit ribosomal RNA
Source: RNAcentral